GUUGGGACCUGUGUUCUCUAGUGAGAGGAUAAACACCUUUAACCUGACCCUCCUCUCCAGCCACUUCUUGCAAGCGCUAGAGGCUGCCAGAGUGGCACUCUUACAAGCAACAUGUGCUAUUUGGAACAUUCAAGGGGUUGGACCAGGGGACUACAAUGACAAAGCUUCCCUCAUAGUUUGAUGAGUGGGGGCAGUCUACCCCUGCCUUAGCAGGCUGGCAUCAAUCACACUGACUAUACUAGUCUUCUGUUAAUUGUCAAAACAGACUUGAGGAACAGACUGUAGGGAGAGCAUCAAGCUGCCUGCAUACAGCGC
Molecule: long non-coding RNA, 315 nt
Organism: Oncorhynchus tshawytscha (Chinook salmon)
Lineage: Eukaryota; Metazoa; Chordata; Actinopteri; Salmoniformes; Salmonidae
Source: Ensembl